CCUACGGGAGGCUGCAGUGAGGAAUAUUGGUCAAUGGACGCAAGUCUGAACCAGCCAUGCCGCGUGCUGGAAGACGGCCCUAUGAGUUGUAAACUGCUUUUGUACGAGGGUAAACUCCGUUACGUGUAAUGGUCUGUAAGUACCGCAUGAAUAAGGACCGGCUAACUCCGUGCCAGCAGCCGCGGUAAUACGGAGGAUUCAGGCGUUAUCCGGAUUUAUUGGGUUUAAAGGGUGCGUAGGCGGUCGGUUAAGUUUGCGGUGAAAUCCCGAGGCUCAACCUUGGAAUUGCGGCUGGUACUGGUCGGCUUGAGAGUGGGGGCGGUAGGCGGAAUGUAUGGUGUAGCGGUGAAAUGCUUAGAGAUCAUAAAGAACACCGAUUGCGAAGGCAGCAUACGGAGCUACUUCUGACGUUGAGGCACGAAGGCGCGGGGAGCGAACAGGAUUAGAUACCCGUGUAGUC
Molecule: ribosomal RNA, 460 nt
Filed under: uncultured bacterium
Lineage: Bacteria
Description: partial 16S ribosomal RNA
Rfam family: Bacterial small subunit ribosomal RNA
Source: RNAcentral